AGCGAAUAGAUACCCUGGUAGUCCACGCCGUAAACGAUGGAUGCUAGCUGUUAUCAGUAUCGACCCUGGUAGUAGCGAAGCUAACGCGUUAAGCAUCCCGCCUGUGGAGUACGAGCGCAAGCUUAAAACUCAAAGGAAUUGACGGGGACCCGCACAAGCGGUGGAGCGUGUUGUUUAAUUCGAUGGUAAGCGAAGAACCUUACCAAGGUUUGACAUCCUGGGAAAGUUGGUGAAAGCCGACCGUGCCUUCGGGAACCCAGUGACAGGUGAUGCAUGGCCGUCGUCAGCUCGUGUCGUGAGAUGUUUGGUUAAGUCCAUCAACGAGCGCAACCCUUAUAGUCUGUUGUAUUUCUCAGGCUAGACUGCCCCGGUAACGGGGAGGAAGGAGGGGAUGAUGUCAGGUCCGUAUUUCCCUUACACCUUGGGCUACAAACACGCUACAAUGGCCGGUACAAAGGGCUGCCAAGCAGCAAUGCGGAGCAAAUCCCAUCAAAGCCGGUCUCAGUUCGGAUUGUUGGCUGAAACUCGCCAGC
This 533-nucleotide ribosomal RNA is filed under the name uncultured bacterium. RNAcentral describes it as "bacterial SSU rRNA". It matches the Rfam family "Bacterial small subunit ribosomal RNA", at positions 774 to 1319 of the family's 1533-position model. The record is from RNAcentral.